UAGGGAAUCUUCCGCAAUGGGCGAAAGCCUGACGGAGCAACGCCGCGUGAGUGAUGAAGGUCUUCGGAUCGUAAAACUCUGUUAUUAGGGAAGAACAAAUGUGUAAGUAACUAUGCACGUCUUGACGGUACCUAAUCAGAAAGCCACGGCUAACUACGUUCCAGCAGCCGCGGUAAUACGUAGGUGGCAAGCGUUAUCCGGAAUUAUUGGGCGUAAAGCGCGCGUAGGCGGUUUUUUAAGUCUGAUGUGAAAGCCCACGGCUCAACCGUGGAGGGUCAUUGGAAACUGGAAAACUUGAGUGCAGAAGAGGAAAGUGGAAUUCCAUGUAUAGCGGUAAAAUGCGAAGAGAUAUGGAGGAACACCAGUGGCGAAGGCGACUUUCUGGUCUGUAACUGACGCUGAUGUGCGAAAGCGUGGGGAUCAAACAGG
This 429-nucleotide ribosomal RNA is filed under the name Actinomycetes bacterium. RNAcentral describes it as "Actinobacteria bacterium partial 16S ribosomal RNA". It matches the Rfam family "Bacterial small subunit ribosomal RNA", at positions 355 to 776 of the family's 1533-position model. The record is from RNAcentral. Lineage: Bacteria; Bacillati; Actinomycetota; Actinomycetes.